This 406-nucleotide ribosomal RNA is filed under the name Verrucomicrobiota bacterium. RNAcentral's name for it is "Verrucomicrobia bacterium partial 16S ribosomal RNA". It matches the Rfam family "Bacterial small subunit ribosomal RNA", at positions 355 to 776 of the family's 1533-position model. Lineage: Bacteria; Pseudomonadati; Verrucomicrobiota. The record is from RNAcentral.
UGGGGAAUAUUGGGCAAUGGGCGAAAGCCUGACCCAGCAACGCCGCGUGAGUGAUGAAGGCCUUCGGGUUGUAAAACUCUUUGGACAGGGACGAAGAAAGUGACGGUACCUGUAGAACAAGCCACGGCUAACUACGUGCCAGCAGCCGCGGUAAUACGUAGGUCCCGAGCGUUGUCCGGAUUUAUUGGGCGUAAAGCGAGCGCAGGCGGUUAGAAAAGUCUGAAGUGAAAGGCAGUGGCUCAACCAUUGUAGGCUUUGGAAACUGUUUAACUUGAGUGCAGAAGGGGAGAGUGGAAUUCCAUGUGUAGCGGUGAAAUGCGUAGAUAUAUGGAGGAACACCGGUGGCGAAAGCGGCUCUCUGGUCUGUAACUGACGCUGAGGCUCGAAAGCGUGGGUAGCAAACAGG